Transfer RNA from Ovis aries (sheep), 73 nucleotides. It matches the Rfam family "tRNA". From Rfam's summary of the family: Transfer RNA (tRNA) molecules are approximately 80 nucleotides in length. Their secondary structure includes four short double-helical elements and three loops (D, anti-codon, and T loops). Further hydrogen bonds mediate the characteristic L-shaped molecular structure. tRNAs have two regions of fundamental functional importance: the anti-codon, which is responsible for specific mRNA codon recognition, and the 3' end, to which the tRNAs corresponding amino acid is attached (by aminoacyl-tRNA synthetases). tRNAs cope with the degeneracy of the genetic code in two manners: having more than one tRNA (with a specific anti-codon) for a particular amino acid; and 'wobble' base-pairing, i.e. permitting non-standard base-pairing at the 3rd anti-codon position. The record is from Rfam. NCBI's taxonomy places the organism in Eukaryota, Metazoa, Chordata, Mammalia, Artiodactyla, Bovidae.
UCCUUGGUGGCCCAGUGGCUAAGACUCUGCACUCCCAAUGCAGGGGGCCUGGGUUCGAUCCCUAGUCAGGGAA